This 477-nucleotide ribosomal RNA is filed under the name uncultured bacterium. RNAcentral's name for it is "bacterial SSU rRNA". It matches the Rfam family "Bacterial small subunit ribosomal RNA", at positions 365 to 832 of the family's 1533-position model. The record is from RNAcentral.
UUCGCAAUGCCCGAAAGGGUGACGAAGCGACGCCGCGUGUGGGAAGAAGGCCUUUGGGUUGUAAACCACUGUCGGGAGUUAAGAAAUGCAAGGAUAUUAAUAGUGUCUUUGUUUGACUAAGGCUCCGGAGGAAGCCACGGCUAACUCUGUGCCAGCAGCCGCGGUAAUACAGAGGCGGCAAGCGUUGUUCGGAAUUAUUGGGCGUAAAGAGCACGUAGGCGGCUAUGUAAGUCGGUUGUGAAAGCCUUCCGCUCAACGGAAGAACAGCAUUCGAUACUACAUGGCUUGAGUGCGAGAGGGGAGAGUGGAACUUCUGGUGGAGCGGUGAAAUGCGUAGAUAUCAGAAGGAACGCCGGCGGCGAAAGCGGCUCUCUGGCCCAUAACUGACGCUGAGUGUGCGAAAGCUAGGGGAGCAAACGGGAUUAGAUACCCCGGUAGCCCUAGCCGUAAACGAUGGGCACUAAGUAGAGGGGUUUU